AGAACGAACGCUGGCGGCAGGCUUAACACAUGCAAGUCGAACGCUCGUAGCAAUACGGGAUUGGCAGACGGGUGAGUAACACGUGGGAACGUACCCUUCGGUUCGGGAUAACACAGGGAAACUUGUGCUAAUACCGGAUACGUCCGAGAGGAGAAAGGUUUACCGCCGAAGGAUCGGCCCGCGUCUGAUUAGCUAGUUGGUGAGGUAACGGCUCACCAAGGCGACGAUCAGUAGCUGGUCUGAGAGGAUGAUCAGCCACAUUGGGACUGAGACACGGCCCAAACUCCUACGGGAGGCAGCAGUGGGGAAUAUUGGACAAUGGGCGCAAGCCUGAUCCAGCCAUGCCGCGUGAGUGAUGACGGCCUUAGGGUUGUAAAGCUCUUUUACCUGGGAAGAUAAUGACGGUACCAGGAGAAUAAGCCCCGGCUAACUUCGUGCCAGCAGCCGC
RNAcentral lists this ribosomal RNA (448 nucleotides) under uncultured bacterium. RNAcentral describes it as "SSU rRNA". It matches the Rfam family "Bacterial small subunit ribosomal RNA", at positions 26 to 518 of the family's 1533-position model. The record is from RNAcentral.